CAUAUCAAUAAGCGGAGGAAAAGAAACUAACAAGGAUUCCCCUAGUAACGGCGAGUGAAGCGGGAAGAGCUCAAAUUUAAAAUCUGGCUUGCUUGCAAGUCCGAGUUGUAGUCUGAAGAAACGUUUUCCAUGAAAGCUGAGGCACAAGUCCUUUGGAACAGGGCAUCAUAGAGGGUGAGAAUCCCGUCCAUGGUCUCAUGCAUUUCAUUUUGUGAUACGUUUUCUAAGAGUCAGGUUGUUUGGGAAUGCAGCCUAAAAUGGGUGGUAAAUUUCAUCUAAAGCUAAAUAUUGGCGAGAGACCGAUAGCGAACAAGUACCGUGAGGGAAAGAUGAAAAGAACUUUGAAAAGAGAGUUAAAAAGUACGUGAAAUUGUUGAAAGGGAACCGUUUGAAGCCAGUCUUGCUUACUUGUGAUCAAUCUUARCUUCGGYUUGGAUGCACUCUCGAGUUAUGCAGGUCAACGUCAGUUUGAGAGGUGGGAAAAAAGUUUGAGGAAUGUGGCCUUCGGGUGUUAUAGCCUCUUACUAAAUACCAUCUCCUGGACUGAGGCUCGCAGYAAAAAUGUGGGUUGGUUUGCUCCUGAGGUGAAUCAUURUUAAGACAGCUUGCUGACUUAGUUUUGUGGAUCUUCACGGUAGACCAGCU
This 645-nucleotide ribosomal RNA is filed under the name Mucorales sp. RNAcentral describes it as "eukaryotic LSU rRNA". It matches the Rfam family "Eukaryotic large subunit ribosomal RNA", at positions 39 to 632 of the family's 3401-position model. Lineage: Eukaryota; Fungi; Mucoromycota; Mucoromycetes; Mucorales. The record is from RNAcentral.